Molecule: ribosomal RNA, 254 nt
Filed under: uncultured bacterium
Lineage: Bacteria
Description: partial 16S ribosomal RNA
Rfam family: Bacterial small subunit ribosomal RNA
Source: RNAcentral
GACGUAGGGCGCGAGCGUUGUCCGGAUUUAUUGGGCGUAAAGAGCGCGUAGGCGGCUUGUCGCGUCGACUGUGAAAACCCGUGGCUCAACCAUGUGGUCUGCAGUCGAUACGGGCAGGCUAGAAUUCGGUAGGGGAGACUGGAAUUCCUGGUGUAGCGGUGAAAUGCGCAGAUAUCAGGAGGAACACCGGUGGCGAAGGCGGGUCUCUGGGCCGAUAUUGACGCUGAGGAGCGAAAGCGUGGGGAGCGAACAGG